This 71-nucleotide transfer RNA is filed under the name Bifidobacterium breve. Its description in RNAcentral is "tRNA-Trp". It matches the Rfam family "tRNA". From Rfam's summary of the family: Transfer RNA (tRNA) molecules are approximately 80 nucleotides in length. Their secondary structure includes four short double-helical elements and three loops (D, anti-codon, and T loops). The record is from RNAcentral. Lineage: Bacteria; Bacillati; Actinomycetota; Actinomycetes; Bifidobacteriales; Bifidobacteriaceae.
ACGCCAUUAGGACAGUGGCAGUCCGACGGUCUCCAAAACCGUCCACGGAGGUUCGAUUCCUCCAUGGCGUG